This 420-nucleotide ribosomal RNA is filed under the name bacterium. RNAcentral's name for it is "partial 16S ribosomal RNA". It matches the Rfam family "Bacterial small subunit ribosomal RNA", at positions 355 to 776 of the family's 1533-position model. The record is from RNAcentral.
UGGGGGAUAUUGCACAAUGGGCGAAAGCCUGAUGCAGCGACGCCGCGUGGGGGAUGAAGGCUUUCGGGUUGUAAACCUCUUUCGCUAUCGAACAAGGCCCGCUUAGGGUGGGUUGAGGGUAGGUGGAGAAGAAGCGCCGGCUAACUACGUGCCAGCAGCCGCGGUAAUACGUAGGGCGCGAGCGUUGUCCGGAAUUAUUGGGCGUAAAGGGCUUGUAGGCGGCUUGUUGCGCCUGCUGUGAAAACGCGGGGCUUAACUUCGCGCGUGCAGUGGGUACGGGCAGGCUUGAGUGUGGUAGGGGUGACUGGAAUUCCAGGUGAAGCGGUGGAAUGCGCAGAUAUCUGGAGAAACACCGAUGGCGAAGGCAGGUCACUGGGCCAUUACUGACGCUGAGGAGCGAAAGCAUGGGUAGCGAACAGG